Grammomys surdaster is the source of this 139-nucleotide small nucleolar RNA. RefSeq annotates it as small nucleolar RNA SNORA48. The record is from RefSeq and is a predicted model, not a curated record. The transcript has a single exon. NCBI's taxonomy places the organism in Eukaryota, Metazoa, Chordata, Mammalia, Rodentia, Muridae.
CCUCCCUGACGAUGGGCAAAGAGACACCUUGUUGCUGGUUCUCAUAUCAGUCAGGGGCAGCGCAGUCGGCAGUCCUUUGUUCAUCCUGGCUUGAUGCCUGGCUUGGUGCCCAAAGUUGUUUUAUGCCUAGGAUGCGUAA